RNAcentral lists this long non-coding RNA (6856 nucleotides) under Brassica rapa (field mustard). RNAcentral describes it as "long non-coding RNA (BRAP_LNC002016)". Lineage: Eukaryota; Viridiplantae; Streptophyta; Magnoliopsida; Brassicales; Brassicaceae. The record is from RNAcentral.
UUUAGUUUAAUAUUUUUUGAGCUUCUACUUAUUGGGGUAAGUUGGUCACUGGACCACUGCAAGCUUUAGGGCUCUGAGUUCCCAUGAGUUUGGGGCUCACGUUUGAGCACUGGAAAGUCGCUGGACCAUCUGCUCCGCUGUACCUAAUGUCAAUGUCUCCAAUCUCAACGUUUUGGCAUGGGUAUCCCCUGCUGCACAAUAGCUUCACUGCAUCCUUGUUCCCUGAUGUUCCUCUGAUCUGCUUGAAGCUGAUGUUGGCAAGCUUAAUCGUUGAUGGUUUCUGCUUGUUACAUUGGUUCCAAGGGCAGUACUCUUGGUCGAUGAGGAUUGGGUUCAUAACGUUCUUGAGAAUGAUAUUCUCGAAAUGAAUAUCGGAGGCGGUGGUGGAGCAAGCUGCAGAAGGCCAUGUCUUGAUCCUCAGUCCGUUGUCAGUCUGUUGGAGAGUGCAGUUUAUGACUCUAAUGCCGCUGACAUCCUGUUCGUUUCCGUACCUUCCAAGGCUUCCGACACUGAUUCCAUGUCCUGGACCGCACGUGACUUUCUCCACGUGAAGGUUCUUCAUCCCAUCUCCAACGGAUAUACAGUCGUCUCCGGUGGAGAUGAAUGUGUUAAGGAUCUUGACUCCGUCACUUCUUCCCAAAUGGAUACCGUCAGUGUUGGGACUGUCUUUUGGGGCAAUGAUGUUGAUGUGAUCCAUGGUCAUGUUCUUGGCACCGAGCACGUUGAUGUGGAAGUUCUUGGCAUCUAUUGAAGAUAUGUCUCUGAUCUCAGCGUUCUCCACGAAAUCAAACCUUAUACUCUAUAAAAAAAAGACAAAAUAACAUCACUAAUCUAUUAUUUUUCACAAAAAGCCAAUUAAAUUAAGAUAUAUUGAGGACAUAUAUAAGCACACAUACGAUGGGAAGUUUCUUGCAGUUGAAAGUCUGGUGACAGUUGUUAACUCUCCAAGCUGCGUUUCCUUCACCAUCGAAAGCUCCACCUCCGUUCAACUUAAAGCCAUUAAUGUUGCCAAAGACAAUCCAUGUGUCCUUUCCCUGGAUCGCGUUACCAUCAGCUUUGACAGUGCCUUGAAUGGUGAUCUCGACUGGAGCUUUGCAUGGACCCCUCAUCUGGAUCUCACCAAGCUUGAACUCUCCUUUUGGGAUCACCACUCUGCUCGGUGUUGGAGAUUGGCAUGCUGUUGUAAAUGCUUUCAGAAGUGCCUGCAUAUGUCAUGCGCAAUAGAACCUUAACAACGUAGCCGAUAAUAUGGUUUUGUGGAUUGCUUGUAUAGCAAGAAAAAGGAGAGCAAUGUAACUAACCUGAGUAAUGUCAGAACCUGGAGAGGAGCCAAUGGUGAUGUAUACAGCAUUGGCUGAAAAUCCCAAUAAACAGAAAAUAAAAACGGUAAAAGCUCCAAAAUAUGCACCCAUUCUUUAAUAAAAAAUUUAUUUACUAUUAAUAUUACUAUUUUUUUUAAAUUUAUUUGUUUUGUUUCUUGAGUUUGAUUAGACUCAUGAGUUACGUUUAUAUAGUGGGUUAGGGAAAGAAAUGUUCAAGUCUAACUUUUCUCACAACCUCUCGUUACUUUUAGGUUGUUUGACCCAUGUGUGUUAGGAAGUGAUCAUAUUUCUAAUUGUGUAUCUUGAAGGAUAAAAACUGGAAACUAACUAACGUCGUAUUUUCAAGAAUAUUUUUACUGAAAAAAUGUCACAAAAACUUUUAGGGAAAGAAAUGUUCAAGUCUAACUUUUCUCACAACCUCUCGUUACUUUUAGGUUGUUUGACCCAUGUGUGUUAGGAAGUGAUCAUAUUUCUAAUUGUGUAUCUUGAAGGAUAAAAACUGGAAACUAACUAACGUCGUAUUUUCAAGAAUAUUUUUACUGAAAAAAUGUCACAAAAACUUUUAACAACUGUACUCAAUCAUAUUGAUAACUUUUAAAAUAACUGAUUUUAGAACGCUAUAUUCAGUUUAUUUUUGAUAAUUAAGUUCUUAAAGUACGUACACAAUAAAACCACUUAACUUUUCUUUCUUAGCAAAAACAAAAAAAAUAAACAUUUCAUAUUUUCAGGAGACUUGUGUGUGAUGUCAUGUUUUUUUUUUUUGAAAAAAGUGUGUGAUGUCAUGUUUCAACUUUCAACGUGGUUGCUAGAUUUUGAGUGAUGCUCCCAAAUUAAGGUUGCUCUUUGUACUUUGAGUUUGAGUCCUAUGUCACCAAAACGUCUUUCUACUGCAAUUUUGUCCUUUAUAGUUUUUACCUUCAUAAUGCACACGUGCUCGAGCUUUGAAACGAUUUUUCCGGAGGCAUUCUAUCUUUUUAUUCGUUGUGUCAGGAAUGGUCCAACAACACACAGAUCUCAGAACAUGCAAAACUUGAAUUGCAUUUGUAACCAAAAAUACUUGAAUUGCACGUGGGUUAUGAAAUUCUUUUAAAUCUUUUACCAACAUACAAUAUACUACGAGCCUGUGUUUUAGAAAACAUGAUACGUUGAACAUUAGCUAAUUUUUUAGUUUUAAAAUCAUGAUUAAUGAGAGUUCUCAAAAUAAAUUAGACUAUACAUAUUAGUGAAUAAAAUAUUGUUUUGAAAAUUCAAAAUUCAUGAACAUCCUUUCUCAAAAUAUUCAUGAUUUUGAAAACCCCGUAGUAAAUUAUGAAAUAUUUUAAAAUUAUGAUAAAAUAUGAAUAUUUAUAUAUACAUAUACAUAUACUUCAAUUGUGUUAAAUCCACAUUAAUUGGGAUUUUGCUCUUACUACGAACCUUUCUAAAGACAAACUUGUAAUAUUUUGGAUUUUGAAACGAAAAUAUUGUGGUUAUCCUUGAAAAAGCAAUGUCAAUACGUAGCUGAUAAUUUUAAGGGUCAAUUUGCUGAAUAACCAACUUUGGCAUCAAAAUUAAGUGAGUAGCAUUGAUUUUGACGUAAUGUAAUAUCUAUCAUUUAUGCCAAUUGUUAUCCGGUUCUGCCCCUUCUUCCAUUAAUCAUCCGGUAAUAUUGUAUUGCUAGAUAUGACUUGGUCAAAAUAACGUAGGGUAAAGAUUAAAUUAAAUACUACUUUAUUUGAUAGAAACACAUGCAGCCACGUACCAAUUUAAUCCACCCAAAAUUUUCUUAUUGCUGGUCAAUAAUGAAUCACUAUUAUUUACAAACACAUCACGUAAAAGAACUCAUGUCACAAAUUUACUUAUAACAUAUUUAUUUACUAUAUGAAGUAGAAUGAGCGGAUAGAAACAUAAUUUUUUAAAAAAAAUAAAAAGUGUAUAAACCCUAAACCCAAAAAAAACAUAAAUUUCCAAAUACUAAAUCCUAAACUCUAAUCACUAAACCCUAACUCAAAUAUAAACCCUAAACCCAAAUAUAAACACAAAACCCAAAUAGAAUGGAACAAAAUAAAUAACAUAGUACAUAUUGGUGAAACUAUAAAAUGUCUAUGAUUGCAUGAAAGAAGUUAGUGUUGACCCAACCAUACCCCUCACCUUCUAAAUACUAAACCCUAAAUUCCAGUCACUAAACCCUAUCCAAAUAUACCCUAAACGCUAAACCUAAAUAAAUAGAUUAAGCUAAACCCUGAUCAAGGAAGUAUAAACCCAAAUAGAAUGUAUAUAAUAUGGUUUACUAUACCCAAACAUUUACUUAGUAAAUCUAAACCCUAGGCAAGAACCUAUAAACCAAAAUUCAAAUAUAAACACAAAACCCAAAUAGAAUGGAACAAAAUAAAUAACAUAGUACAUAUUAGUGAAACUAUAAAAUGUCUAUGAUUGCAUGAAAGAAGUUAACGCUGACCCCAACCAUACCCCCCUCACCUUCUAAAUACUAAACCCUAAAUUCUAGUCACUAAUCACCCUAAUCACUAAGUAUUAUAGAAAUACUAAAACCACAUCCGUAAUCUUUAAAUACUAAACACUAUCCCAACUCCUAAAUACUAUGGCUAUCACUAAACCCAAACCUCAACCCCUACCUUCCAAAUACUAAACCCUAAAUUUAAAUCACUAAACCCUAAACCCAAGUAUAAACCCUAAACCUAAGUAUAAACCCUAAACCCAAGUAUAAACCCUAAACCCAAAUAGAAUGAAACAAAAUACAUAGUAUAGUACAUAUUGGUGAACAAAAUAGAACACUCUUUAUUAAUCGUCAAAUGGAACGAUACAUGAUAGGGUCACCAUCAAACCUCAACCCCACCUUCCAAAUACUAAACCCUAAAUCUUAAUCAAUAAAUCCUAAACCCAAAUAUAAACUCUAAACCCAAAUAGAAUGGAAAAAAAAUACAUAGUAUAGUACUUGGUGAAGAAAAUAACACCUUCUUUAUUAAUCAUCAACUGGAACGAUACAUGAUAAAUACAUAUAGUAACAGACUAUUUUACAUUACAUAACAUGAAUAAAACAUUCAUAAUACAUAUUGUUUUACAUUUCUAUUCUAUACGCAUAAAAUAGAAUAGAACACAAUGUUACAAAAACUGUUCAUCUUCUCCGAUCAAUUCAAGGAUAUUCACAGCGAGAAAGAUAUGUGUAACUGGCAACAUCCGUGAGAAUAGUACAUGUAACCGCCUCGUAAACCGAAAAGAUUAAGGUGAUUGAAGGAAGAGUUGACGAACCUUGCGGCGGUGCCGUUUACGUUGUCGGCGACUCCAUAGAUUUCAGAUGCGCAAAGCUUUUUGUCAGUAGCGAAGCGAGUCAUUGCAGAUGGGCAUCUCAUAGGCAAAGCUACUCCAGAAAUGGUUUUGGUGGUUACACAGUGGAUCAAAAAUGGAGAAGAAACAACCCACGUUCUACAAGGUAUGUGAUUCUCCAAAGGCCACGUUGUAUGUGUGUAAGGUAAGUAUUAUUAAUUUAGUUUUUUUUAGUUUACAGGUUUUACCGGUUGUGUAAGAGGGCAUAGUAGUAUUAUUAUAUAAAAGAUGCAUGGUGUAUUGGUGUAUUAGGGUAUUUAGACAUAGAAUGAAUUAUAAUUUGUUUGAAGGUUAUACAGCCAAAUUUCCCUAAUUUUAAUACUGUCUCUUUUCCCAUUCAAAUAUAUAGAGUUACAUAUAUAUAUAUAUAUAUAUAUAUGUAUUGUAUACCCUGGUGUCGUUUAUCCUACAUAGCGUUGGAGAAACAACAAUGGAGUUCUUAAUUUAUUUAUUUUUGGGUAAAUUGUUAAGUUCUUAAAUUUAAUUUGACAUGAAUACUAUUAGCUAUUAGAGCUCGAACUUCAACAGAAAACGUUACCGUUCCAAUUUCAAGUUUUGUCAAAUCCGAAAUCAGCAGGACUCAAAAUUAAUUCGGCUGUCUAAUUCAAAUCUAAUACUACGAUAAUAACUAGAAUAACAAUUAACAAGUAUCUGGAUAAGACGUCUGAAGAAUAUCUCACAAUAAAAGUGAGAUGAGACCACUGGAGCAGCUAUUUUGUUAAGAAACUGUUAAAGUUUCUCAAAGAAAAAUAUCAUAAUUAUUUGUAUAAUUACAUUUUUAAUAAUUGUAUCAUAUUUUAAUAAGUGUUAUUAAGAGUUCUAAGCAAGUUAUUUAAAAAAAAAUCUUAAAUCAGAAUUCUUCUCUAUUCUUUCUCAUACUUUUUAAAAUCACUAGGUAACUUUUCACGUAUUCAUCAAUGAACAACGAGAAAAUAAAGUAAACAUUUUGUACUGGGAUCAAAAAAAAAUUAAUGGAGAUAAAUUUUCAUUUUUGGUGGGAUCAAUAUAAUUUUUCUUAAGUAAAAACAAAUAUUUUACAUUUUUUAAAAAUAAAAACAAAUACUUUUAGAAAAGUAGUGGGGUCAGCUGACCCCAUCUCUUCCCAGCCCCUGGUCACAUAGAUCAACCCAUUAAUUGCUAGUUAAUUUUAAGGUUUAAGUAAUUUUUAGCAUUUUAAAUUUCUUAAAAAGACCAAUCACAUGCAGAAAAGAUAUAUAAAUCUUUUAGUUUUAUUACAUCAUUAUGCACACACACAUAUGUGUUGGCAUCGAAUAGAAACAUUUUUUCAUUUACAGUUUUCAUAAAGUCUCCCUUAUGUGAGACUUUUCAAAGAAAAAAGGGUUAGAAAGAAGGAAAAACAAAAUUGGAUGUGAAAGCCCUAGAUGUGUUGAUCAGCUUCAACAUUUUACGCUUGGCCAGGUGCCUUGACCACAGGUCCAACACAAGCCUUUGGGUUUUGAGUUCCCACAAGCUUAGGUGUGACGUUUGUGCACUCAAAAGUGGGUGGACCAUCAGGUCCUGUGUACUCAAUGUUAAUGUCUCCAAUCUCAACGUUCUCACAUGGAUGUCCCUUGCUGCACAAUAGUUUCACUGCGUCCUUGUUCCCUGAUGUUCCUCUAAUAUUCCUGAAGGUAAUGUCCACCAGCUUAAUUGUUGAUGGUUUCUGCAAAUAAUAUAAAAACUUUGGGAAUCAGAAUCAUAUAUAGAACUCUAUAUGUAACCUCUACCAAAAUGGUAAAUGCUAAAGAUCUAGAAAACAUCAGAAUAAUUUGUGUGCUGAAUCAAUUUAUCCAUUUUCAUAUAUAGAAUCCGGUGAUAGUGGCAAGACAUAGAAUCUAAUAAAAAAUACUUACGCUCUUGUUGCAUUGGUUCCAAGGGCAGUACUCCUGGUCGAUGAGGAUUGGGUUGCUAACUUUGUUAAGGAUGAUAUUCUCAAAAUGAAUACCGGCAGCAGUGGUGGUGCAAGCCGCAGAUGGCCAUGUCUUGAUCCUCAGCCCGUUGUCGGUUCCCUCGAGGGUGCAGUUUAUAACCUUAAUGUCGUUGACAUCUUGCUCCCAUCCGUAUCUUCCAAGGCUUCCGACACUGAUUCCGUGUCCAGGACCGCACACAACUUUUUCAAUGAGGAGAUUCUUCAUCCCAUCUCCCACGGAGAUGCAGUCAUCUCCUGUGGAGAUCUUAGUGUUGAGGAUCUUGACUCCCUCACAUCUUCCCAA